UCUCUCUCCCUCUGUCCCUUUUCUUCAUCUCUCUGCUCUUCCCUCUCCCCAUCUCUCUCCCUCCCUCUCUUCUCUCUCUGUCUCUCUGACUCAACACUCAGAGCAAGUGUUUGCAAAAACAAAAUAAUGGCAUGGUUUCACAUGUGUGACUGAUAGCAUAUUUCCUGCCUUCUCCAUAGGUGGGGGAGAGGCGGGAGGGAAUUAAGAACUCAAUUAUUUUUUAAACGAAAGCCAAAAAUCUCUUCCUCUCCCUCUGUCCCUUUUCUUCGUCUCUUUGCUCUUCCCUCUCCCCCUCUCUCCCCCUCUCUCUCUGACUCAAUACUCGGAACAAGUGUUUGCAAAAACAAAAUAAUGGCAUGGUUUCCUAUGGAUGGCUGAUAUCAUAUUUCCUGCCUUUCCAUAGGUGGGGGAGAGGCGGGAGGAAUUAAGAACUCAAUUUUUUUUUAAAACUAAAACUAAAAGUCCCUUCCUCUCCCUCUGUCCCUUUUCUUCAUCUCUUUGCUCUUCCUUCUCCCCAUCUCUCUCUCUCUCCCUCUCUUUCUGCCUGUCUCUCUCAUUGAACACUCAGAGCAAGUGUUUGCAAAAACAAAAUAAUGGUUUUCUAUGUAUGGCUGAUAUCAUAUUUUCUGCCUUUCCAUAGGUGGGGGAGAGGCGGGAGGGAAUUAAGAACUCAAUUUUUUUAAACUAAAGUUAAAAGUCCCUUCCUUUCCUUCUGUCCUCUUUCUUCAUUUCUUUCCUCUUCCCUCUCCCCAGCUCUCUCUCUCUCCCUCUCUUUGUCUGUCUGUCUCUCUCAUUGAACACUCAGAGCAAGUGUUUGCAAAAACAACAUAAUGGCAUGGUUUCCUAUGUAUGGCUGAUAUCAUAUUUUCUGCCUUAUCCACAGGUGGGGGAGAGGCAGGAGGGAAUUAAGAACUCAUUUUUUUAAAAAACUAAAGCUAAAAAUCUCUUCCUCUCCCUAUGUCCCUUUUCUUCAUCUCUUUGCUCUUCCCUCUCUCCAUCUCUCUCUCCCUCUCUUUCUGUCUCUCUCAUUGAACACUCAGAGCAAGUGUUUGCAAAAACAAAAUAAUGGCAUGGUUUCCUAUGUAUGGCUGAUAUCAUAUUUUCUGCCUUAUCCACAGGUGGGGGAGAGGCGGGAAGGAAUUAAGAGCUCAAUUUUUUUUUAAACGAAAGUUUAAAGUCCCUUCCUCUCCCUCUGUCCCUUUUCUUCAUCUCCUUGCUCUUCCCUCUCUCCAUCUCUCUCUCUCCCUCUCUUUCUGUCUGUCUCUCUCAUUGAACACUCAGAGCAAAUGUUUGCAAAAACAAAAUAAUGGCAUGGUUUCCUAUGUAUGGCUGACAUAUUUUCUGCCUUUCCAUAGGUGGGGGAGAAGCAGGAGAGAAUUAAGAGCUCAAAUUUUUUUUAAACUAAAGCUAAAAAAUCUCUUCCUCUCUCUCUGUCCUUUUUCUUCAUCUCUUUGCUCUUCCCUCUCUCCCUCUCUCUGUCUCUCAUUGAACAUCAGAGCAAGUGUUUGCAAAAACAAAAUAAUGAUAUGAUUUUACAUGUAUGGCCGAUAGCAUAUUUCCUGCCUUUCCAUAGGUGGGGGAGAGGAGGGAGGGAAUUAAGAACUCAUUUUUUAAAAAAACUAAAGCUAAAAAUCUCUUCCUCUCCCUCUGUCCCUUUUCUUCAUCUCUUUGCUCUUCCCUCUCUCCAUCUCUUUCUCCCUCUCUUUCUGUCUGUCUCUCUGACUCAACACUCAGAGCAAGUGUUUGUAAAAACAAAAUAAUGGCAUGGUUUCGUAUGGAUGGCUGAUAUCAUAUUUUCUGCCUUAUCCACAGGUGGGGGAGAGGCGGGAAGGAAUUAAGAGCUCAAUUUUUUUUUAAACGAAAGUUUAAAGUCCCUUCCUCUCCCUCUGUCCCUUUUCUUCAUCUCCUUGCUCUUCCCUCUCUCCAUCUCUCUCUCUCCCUCUCUUUCUGUCUGUCUCUCUCAUUGAACACUCAGAGCAAAUGUUUGCAAAAACAAAAUAAUGGCAUGGUUUCCUAUGUAUGGCUGACAUAUUUUCUGCCUUUCCAUAGGUGGGGGAGAAGCAGGAGAGAAUUAAGAGCUCAAAUUUUUUUUAAACUAAAGCUAAAAAAUCUCUUCCUCUCUCUCUGUCCUUUUUCUUCAUCUCUUUGCUCUUCCCUCUCUCCCUCUCUCUGUCUCUCAUUGAACAUCAGAGCAAGUGUUUGCAAAAACAAAAUAAUGAUAUGAUUUUACAUGUAUGGCCGAUAGCAUAUUUCCUGCCUUUCCAUAGGUGGGGGAGAGGAGGGAGGGAAUUAAGAACUCAUUUUUUAAAAAAAACUAAAGCUAAAAAUCUCUUCCUCUCCCUCUGUCCCUUUUCUUCAUCUCUUUGCUCUUCCCUCUCUCCAUCUCUUUCUCCCUCUCUUUCUGUCUGUCUCUCUGACUCAACACUCAGAGCAAGUGUUUGUAAAAACAAAAUAAUGGCAUGGUUUCCUUUGUAUGGCUGACAUCAUAUUUUCUGCCUUUCCAUAGGUGGGGGAGAAGUGGGAGAGAAUUAAGAGCUCAAAAUGUUUUUAAACUAAAGCUAAAAAUCGCUUCCUCUCCCUCUGUCCUUUUUCUUCAUCUCUUUGCUCUUCCCUCUCUCCCUCUCUCUCUGUCUCUCAUUGAACAUCUGAGCAAGUGUUUGCAAAAACAAAAUAAUGGUAUGAUUUUACAUGUAUGGCCAAUAGA
Molecule: long non-coding RNA, 2704 nt
Organism: Antechinus flavipes (yellow-footed antechinus)
Lineage: Eukaryota; Metazoa; Chordata; Mammalia; Dasyuromorphia; Dasyuridae
Exons: 3
Source: RefSeq, a predicted model, not a curated record